AAGUUAUUCUGCAUUUGAAAGAGGAUCAGACCGAAUACAUUGAUGUGAAGCGUAUUAAGGAGAUCGUGAAGAAGCACUCACAGUUCAUUGGCUAUCCCAUAACAUUAUAUGACAAAAGUGAGGAGGAAGGAGAGAAAGAUGAAGAUAAGCCAGAGAUUGAGAUUGUUGGCUCAGAUGAUGAAGACCAUGACAAGAUCGCAGAUAAAAAAAAGAAGACGACAAUCAAGGAGAAGUAUACUGACCAGGAAGCUCAAUAAUCUUCUCUUCACGUGGCUCCUCUGGGGUCACAAGGUGGUCCAAGAUUGUUGUCACAGGGGCACUGCCCCCCCUGAGGAGAAGCCAUAGAUAUCUACACUAGAUGUCGCCUUGGGUACGGCAGCUCAUUGGAACAAAUGCGUCAAUAGAGCCGCCAUCUUGGAACAGGGGAGCCCCUCCUCUUUAAUGCAUCAGCGUCAAUAUAGGCAAAGGUUUAACGGAAAUUAAAAUCACCAUAAAUCGUCAUGAAUGCGUUUUAACGGUCAGACAUGUAUUUAUCAAUGAGUCCAGAGAAAAGUUAAGGUUUUGAUAUUAAGAUAAUCUACUUUUUCAAAUUAUAAUGCAUAGUGCUAGUAGGCCUAAGUUCAUUACUUACAUUCCUCCAUUCCUCACAUUGGUGUGACUAUACAUGUUAAUUAAAACAUUUAAAUUGUAUUGGCUGAUUAAAUAUGAUACACAAAGUAAUUUGCAGGUGGAAGCAAAUCACAAAUUUGAGAGGAACAUAAUGUGAGAGUUAGAUAGUUGAGGUGCCAAAGACCGUUCAAUCUUUUCUUUAUUCCCGUCCCACAAUACUUUUGUCACAUUAAAUAAGUGUGCACUAAAGUCACAUUCAUAAAGAACCAAGUUAGUCAGUAUUACAAAACAAUGUUAUUGUUAUUGAAAGCUGAGGUGGCAGAGAAAGAGCAGCAGUUUGAGGAUAGUAUAGAAAAACCAAGGUUUGACUCUGAGGCUGGACUUGUGUGUUAAACUGCAAAGCUAACUGGUGACAUCCUUCCAGGUAUGUCAGCUGAGUUAACCAUUUUUAAAACUAAGUAUUUAGUAUCUCUGCAACAACACUACCUUACACAGUUUCUUCCUGAGACUUUUGCUCUGCAGUUGCAGAGUAUGAACCUUUGCGAUCGGGGUUAACAUCCAGAACCAGUAUGUUUGGAUAAACUUGUUCAGAUGGACGUUUUAACUUAAGACUCAUCUCCGUUAGCCAAGAAUGCUGACUGAAGUCAGCGUAGCAUGCUAGCUAUCUAUCUAUCUCCUUUUGUUUUUUUGUUGUUUUUUUAUCCUAAAUUGCAUUCCUUUUUAUGCUUACCCUUAUAUACCAGACAGAUGCAAAAAGCAUUUCACUGCAUGUCGUACCCUGUAUGUAUGUGUAUGUGACAAAUAAAAUUUGAUUUGAUUCAAUGAUAUAAGUGCAGCUCACCAUCAUGAUAAUACAAUGUUUUAUUGCCAUGCUAAUAACUACAAAGUGGUGUCCAUAUGAUGGUCCUUUUCCAUUAAUAGACAGAGUAUGGUGGAGAUUUAAUCUUGUGAGCCAUACUAGUGGUGUACUCUGGGCAGACCAUCUGAGCCUGAGACAGGGGGGCUGCCUCAUGCUGCCUAACAGAUGGGCUACAUUCAGUUCAUUGUAUAUAUUACACAGUCUGCUGAUGUGAAAUGUGGACGGGAUUACAGAAGAAAAUAAGGGAUGUUGGUAUAAACUACACUGAUGAACCUAAUAAACUGGCAGUUGAGUUUAUAUACAAUGUCUAAAGAAUAGAUGGCAUGUCAGGACUUUUAGCAAUUAUUCAGUUCUUAUUUUGAGCAGCAGAUGGCACCAGAACACUCUUAUUUCUGUUUCAGUCCUAAGAAAAUGUUUUGCAUGUAUCCUCGGAGAAUGGCUGUUCUAGAGUAGAGAUCUAUUCUGUCCUUUUGCAGACAGAGGCCACUUUAUAAAACAAAUUUUAUAGGCCGUUUAACCCAGUAUUUUGUUUAAGAUCAUGAACAUUGUUAUCAAACUGUGAGCAUUACUUACAUGUGUACAAUAACAUUUUGUAUACUUAUUUGAGCUGUAAAUAUUUUUUUAUUCCAGAACAUGCUUAUGAAAGAAUGCCUUAGGCCCAAGUAGAGGGCUUACUUAUGUUUUAAUUUUGGAAUAAUUCCAUUCAUUACAAGUGAGAGGUUAAAAAUAUAAGAACAAUAUAACACAAGAAAAAUACCACCAAUGAUUGUGAUUUCCACCAGUGAAAGUACAUUUAAAAAAACAUGGACCCCACUACUGUCGAAAAAGACCAUGGACCAUAAAACCUGUGAAAAGACUAGGAUUGCUUUAUCAUGGUCACAGUGGAAUAAAUUAAUAUACAAAUAAACUGAAUAUUUGAAUAGUUAGAGGGAAUCCGUGAUAUUUAUUUUACAGUUAAGGUGUUAUAUUUUGCCUUUUUACACAAGUUACUGCUGCAUACUGUCUGUAGUCGAUACAAUGAAUAGAUUGAGGAAAAUCCAUGCGAUGAAGAUUUUGGACCUCCACUGAGAUGAGGCUGACUCUGCGAGAUACCUGAGGCAUCUAGAGAUCUACCAGCUCCAGUUAGACUCUGCGAUACU
Long non-coding RNA from Tachysurus fulvidraco (yellow catfish), 2607 nucleotides. RefSeq lists it as uncharacterized. NCBI's taxonomy places the organism in Eukaryota, Metazoa, Chordata, Actinopteri, Siluriformes, Bagridae. The transcript is spliced from 3 exons. The record is from RefSeq and is a predicted model, not a curated record.